GCAAGUCGAGCGGUAACAGGAAUAGCUUGCUAUUUGCUGACGAGCGGCGGACGGGUGAGUAACGCGUAGGAAUCUGCAUAGUAGAGGGGGACAACAUGUGGAAACGCAUGCUAAUACCGCAUAAUCCCUAAGGGGGAAAGGAGGGGACUUUUCGGAGCCUUCCGCUAUUAGAUGAGCCUGCGUGAGAUUAGCUAGUUGGUAGGGUAAAGGCUUACCAAGGCGACGAUCUAUAGCUGUUCUGAGAGGAAGAUC
RNAcentral lists this ribosomal RNA (252 nucleotides) under uncultured bacterium. Its description in RNAcentral is "partial 16S ribosomal RNA". It matches the Rfam family "Bacterial small subunit ribosomal RNA", at positions 57 to 305 of the family's 1533-position model. The record is from RNAcentral.